RNAcentral lists this small RNA (386 nucleotides) under Arabidopsis thaliana (thale cress). Its description in RNAcentral is "ATSL198470". The record is from RNAcentral. Lineage: Eukaryota; Viridiplantae; Streptophyta; Magnoliopsida; Brassicales; Brassicaceae.
AAAAAAUUAAAGUAGUGUUUCCUUGUUAGAAGAUACAAAGGCAAAGACACAUACAGACUUUGGCUACACCAUCAAAAUUUUGAGAAGCAAUAAGAAGCUUGAUUAGUGUUUUGGAGUCAAAUAUGACUAGAUGUCAUGUGUAUGAUUGAGUAUAAGAACUAGAACCGCAACUGGUUCCCAAAAGCUAAAGUAGUGUUUCCUUGUUAGAAGAUUCAAAGCCAAAGAAUCAUACGGACUUUGGUUACAACAUCAAAGCUAUGAGAAGCAAUAAGAAUUUUGGUAAGUGUUUUGGAGUCAAAUAUGACUAUCCGUUAGUGUCGCUCUCACGGAAAAGUGACUUUGUCAUCCGGUCCGUUGAACGGUUGCGCCCAGUUACGAUUUGAAUC